UUCUAAGGCCAAAUCACGCAUGUGCCCGAUCUCAUUAGACCUCGAAAGCUAAGCAGAUUUGAGGCUGGAUAGUGCUUGAAUGGGUGAUCACCACGCACAAAAUCGGUGUUGUAUGCC
Molecule: ribosomal RNA, 117 nt
Filed under: Petromyzon marinus (sea lamprey)
Lineage: Eukaryota; Metazoa; Chordata; Hyperoartia; Petromyzontiformes; Petromyzontidae
Source: RNAcentral